This 453-nucleotide ribosomal RNA is filed under the name uncultured Rhodocyclaceae bacterium. Its description in RNAcentral is "bacterial SSU rRNA". It matches the Rfam family "Bacterial small subunit ribosomal RNA", at positions 929 to 1382 of the family's 1533-position model. The record is from RNAcentral. Lineage: Bacteria; Pseudomonadati; Pseudomonadota; Betaproteobacteria; Rhodocyclales; Rhodocyclaceae.
GCGGUGGAUGAUGUGGAUUAAUUCGAUGCAACGCGAAAACCUUACCUACCCUUGACAUGUCCGGAAUCCCGAAGAGAUUUGGGAGUGCUCGCAAGAGAGCCGGAACACAGGUGCUGCAUGGCUGUCGUCAGCUCGUGUCGUGAGAUGUUGGGUUAAGUCCCGCAACGAGCGCAACCCUUGUCAUUAGUUGCCAUCAUUUGGUUGGGCACUCUAAUGAGACUGCCGGUGACAAACCGGAGGAAGGUGGGGAUGACGUCAAGUCCUCAUGGCCCUUAUGGGUAGGGCUUCACACGUCAUACAAUGGUCGGUACAGAGGGUUGCCAACCCGCGAGGGGGAGCUAAUCCCACAAAGCCGAUCGUAGUCCGGAUCGCAGUCUGCAACUCGACUGCGUGAAGUCGGAAUCGCUAGUAAUCGUGGAUCAGCAUGUCACGGUGAAUACGUUCCCGGGCCUU